RNAcentral lists this ribosomal RNA (454 nucleotides) under Escherichia coli. RNAcentral describes it as "bacterial SSU rRNA". It matches the Rfam family "Bacterial small subunit ribosomal RNA", at positions 1068 to 1522 of the family's 1533-position model. The record is from RNAcentral. Lineage: Bacteria; Pseudomonadati; Pseudomonadota; Gammaproteobacteria; Enterobacterales; Enterobacteriaceae.
UGAAAUGUUGGGUUAAGUCCCGCAACGAGCGCAACCCUUAUCCUUUGUUGCCAGCGGUCCGGCCGGGAACUCAAAGGAGACUGCCAGUGAUAAACUGGAGGAAGGUGGGGAUGACGUCAAGUCAUCAUGGCCCUUACGACCAGGGCUACACACGUGCUACAAUGGCGCAUACAAAGAGAAGCGACCUCGCGAGAGCAAGCGGACCUCAUAAAGUGCGUCGUAGUCCGGAUUGGAGUCUGCAACUCGACUCCAUGAAGUCGGAAUCGCUAGUAAUCGUGGAUCAGAAUGCCACGGUGAAUACGUUCCCGGGCCUUGUACACACCGCCCGUCACACCAUGGGAGUGGGUUGCAAAAGAAGUAGGUAGCUUAACCUUCGGGAGGGCGCUUACCACUUUGUGAUUCAUGACUGGGGUGAAGUCGUAACAAGGUAACCGUAGGGGAACCUGCGGUUGGA